RNAcentral lists this long non-coding RNA (4892 nucleotides) under Sus scrofa (pig). RNAcentral describes it as "lncRNA (ENSSSCG00015041305.1)". The record is from RNAcentral. Lineage: Eukaryota; Metazoa; Chordata; Mammalia; Artiodactyla; Suidae.
UCUUUCUUUUAGGGCUGCACCUGCGGCCUAUGGAGGUUCCCAGGCUAGGGGUCUGAUCGGAGCUGUUGCUGCCGGCCUACGCCACAGUCACAGCAAUGCCAGAUCUCUAACCCACUGAGCAAGGCCAGGGACCGAACCUGCACCCUCAUGGUUUCUAGUCGGAUUCAUUUCCACUGUGCCACGACGGGAACUCCUAAAACUGAAUUUCUAAACUCUGUCUAAUCAAGAAUGAUGAUCUCAUCUGUUUAUCAGCUAUCCGUCUUUCACUCUGUGAAUUUCCUGUUUAUAUUCUCUCCCAAUUUCUGGCUAUUGAACAGUGGAUAACUUUGGUUUGUUAGACUUGUUCGUAUUUCUAGGAAAUUUAGCCUUUAGUAUCUGUCGCAAAAACUUUGGCAAGAGUUGAUUGCUUUUGACUUUGCCUGUGAUGAUGCUUUUACUCAGAAACGUUUCUUGUUACAUAUCCAGUGUUAUGACUCUUUUCUUUGACAGCUUAUGAACUUCCCUCUGCUUCAAAAAGCCUCCUUCAUUCCAUCAAGAUAAUUUUCGUGAAAUAUCUCCUUGUUAAUUCUGCUCCUAGAGUGUUUUCAAAACUCCUCUUUCAUCUUUAAUACAUUUGCAAUUUAUUUGGGUUGAAGGAGAGAAGUCAUGCUGCCUAUUCAUUUCCUUUCUUCCCAAAUGGUUAGCAUAUUCCUCAACCAUUAUUAGCCACGAUUCAUCUUCCAGCCACUACCGUAGAACAAUUUGAAUCUAUUGGUUCCCGAUGGCUCCUGUAACAAAUUAUCUCAGAUGCAGUGGCUUAAAGCAACGCAAAUGUGUUCUCUUCCAGUUCUGGAAGCCAGAAGUCUAAACGGGGUGGUCAGGCCUGCGUUCCUUCCGGAGGCUCCAGACGAGAACGCAUUUCCUUGCAUUUCUGGCUGCUGCUAUCUGCCCACACGCCUUGGCUCACAGCCUCGCCUCAUUCUCACCUCGGCCUCGGGGUCACACCUCCUGCUCUGGUUCCGAUUCACCGCCUUCUACACUCCCUCCUAAGAACCCCUGUCAUCACAGUGGAGUUCCCUGGGGGCGUGGCGGUUAAAGAUCGGAAGUUAUCAGUGGCUGCGGCUUGGGUUCCAGUCCUGGCCUGGGAACUUCCACGUGCGGCCCCAAAAAGAAAACCCUUGGCACUACGGUGGAUCCUCCUAAUUAACACGAUAAUCUCCCCGUUGCAAGGUUCUUAAUUCAAUCACAGCUGCAAAGUCCCUUUUACCGUCCAAGGUGGCCUAUUGAUCAGUUCCAGGGAUUAGAAGAGGGGUGUCUUUGGGGUGGGACAGGGAGGGUUAUUCAGCCUGCCCCAGGGAUGAAAUCUUUGCUCUCUGCCUGUCUUUUUUGAGGGCCACACCCGAAGCAUAGGGAAGUUCCCAGGCUAGGGGUCGAGUCUGAGCUGCAGCUGCCAGCCUACACCACAGCCGCAGCAAGGCCAGACCCUUAACCCACUGAGCGAGGGCAGGGAUCGAGUCUGAGUCCUCAUGGAUACUCGUGGGGCUCCUUACCACUGAGCCACAAGGGGAGCUCCCUGCCUGACGGUCUGUGAGCCGGAACAGUGGUCUUCUCCUGCCUUUGGUCUCAAACUCAGACUAGAGAAUGUGUGGAACCAUGACCAAUACACUACACCUGUUUUUCUAGGUGUUGUGGCAGCACAGUGGGUUUACAAGGUUGCGGUCUUUUCUGCUGCACAGCAGAUUCAGUGAGACAUGGACAGCCACCCGUUCUCUUGCGGGUUCUUUCCCCACAGGCGAUCGCAGAAUACUGGGUAGAGGACCCUGUGCUGUGCAGCAGGUCCCCGUCAGCCAAUCACUCCCCAUACCUCAGUGUGCACAUGCCAAUCCCAAUGCCCAGUCCAUCCCCCACCCCCCACCGGUCCCCUUUGGUAACCAGAACUCUGUUUCCAAAGUCCCGUCAGUUCUGCCAAUAAGGGCACUCAUACCCUUUCUCUUAGGUUCCACCUGUAAGUGAUGCCAUGUGAUGUCCGUCCUUCUCUGUCUCGCUUCGCUUGGCAUGAUCAUCUCCCUUUACGGAAAGAGGGUUUGGACUGUUCCUCAUUCAGCCCCUCUGUUUCCUUCUCUUUGCAGCGGCAGACAGACUCUCAGGAAGACAUCCUGUAUGUGGCCCAUUCUCCGCAGUCGGGACAUCUUGAGCCGUGCGUUGCUCUCUGCUGUACCUUCCAGCCCUGGGGCCUCUGACAUUUACUUUCCUAGUGUGUCCAACGCUCCGAUUUCUUUGAGGAGGUAAAGUCGGUGUCCAGUCUAGAGGAAGGACGACAGGUGUCCUGUCCUUUUCUGUACAGACUCAGAAUAAUAAAAAAGUCAAAGUUACUACUGCUUCUGGUGUAAGAGUGAACUGAAGCAGAAUGACUUGCCUAAGGGGUGGUGAAAAGCUGUGUUGAUGAUGUCGUGGGCAUGGCCCAUUUGUCAGAAAAAGAGGAAAACAGCUGUUCAAAAACAUGGAAUCAUCCAACCAGGCACCACGUGCAUAGGGGCCAUUUGGGUUUUUUUGGUCAGUUGGUUGAUGUGGGUGUAUGUGUUUGCGGGUGUUGAUUUGUCUUUCUUAGGAGAGCAUGUGCUUGUGGUUGGACCCCAAAGAUGCUUCAGGAUCCAUGAUGGGUAGACUUUCUCAAGAUCCCCUUGUGCCAGCUGCAUGCAGUGUGGGUGCCCCCCCGCCCGCCUGGCUCAGGUCAUCAGGCUAAGCAGACCUCAAAGGCCCCCAACAGAGCAGGAAUGCUGAGUCUCAGGCUGCAGACUCACCAUCCCUGCUCUUAAACUUGGAUGGUGGGAUUGGCCUCCCGGGGGUCACAUCAGCCCUGUUUCCUGGUGUGAAUGUGACACCUACUUACUUGCCAGCUCUCCCACCAAUGCUGUGGGUUGAUUACAAGUCCCCCUUUUUACACAACGAGGCUUGAAGCCACAAGGCUGGUAAGUGGUGGAAAGAAGACGUAAACUCUUGGCUUUGAACUCUGAAAACCGCAAGCUUUCCACUACAACAUGUUACCCAUGACUGAAGGAGCACAGACUCCAUCUCUUCUCUGCUGAAUAUGUAAGUAGCACAGAUUCUCUGGAAAGGUCGCAGUUCCCCUGCUCCUUGGGGACCCUCUUUUAAGAAGACACUAAAUGGCCUGGAAUAAAAUGCUGCUCUGGCUGUGGAAUCUUCACAGAGGACAGCCAUCCUUGGACCCAGGAAUCCAGCCCUCUCUGACCAUGCCGUGUGUGCUCAGGCCAGGGCUGGGCUGCGAAUUACUCUCUAAGAUGCACCCACAGUGGCAGCGCUCGGCCACAUUCAGAAGCACAAUGCCUGUUCAGAAAUUGAGUCUGACUGUAUGUGUAANGUGUGUGUGUGUGUGUGUGUGUGUGUGUGUGUCCUGCAUUGAAUCAAUCCGCUCAAGCAUAUAGCUCACAGCAAAAAGAGGCCAAUUCUCAGAAAGGCUGAUGAGCACCAAGAAGAAAACUUGGCCCUUAAGUGUAGCACAGUGGGUCUCAAAGAGUGUCCCUGGAGCAGCAGCAGCAUCUCCUAGGAACUGGUACCCAAUUUAGACUCUUGGGACCCAACCCAGACCUGCUCCUCAGAAAUUCUGGGGGUGAAGACCAGAAAUCUGGUUGAGUCUGACACAUGCUCAAGGUAGAGAACUACUGGUUUCAAAUAUGUUUGUAAUAGCAUUUGGCUCCUUGCAGCAGCAAUAAGGAGGUAUGGUGGUUAGGGCAGCCCUUCUCUAUCUGGGGAGACAAAUCAUACAAAUAUCCAGUCUUCUCAUGAAGCAUCAUCCUAUACACAAUUGUCUUCAUUUUCUUAAAAAAAUUUUUUUAAUAAAAAGAACAAUUUUAUUUUAUCAAAUAGAGAAAAUUUUUAUUUUAGAAAAUAAGUGGAAAAUUGUAUAAGAUAAAUAGAAAUAAAAUACAUACAUAAUACAUUUAACUCAAAUAAAUUUUAAAAAUAAUGUUUCCAAAAGGAGGGGAAAUUAAUGCACACUGACAGGGAGGCCAUUCCAGCCCAUUUUGGGAUUCCUGAGAGGUGAGAAGUAUUAUAAGGAUGUGAAGUCACUCAAGAGUGGAAAACCACUGUCCCAUCUUGUUUCAAAAAUUGCUGGAAGGUUCUGAGAGCUUGACAGCCAUGUCUUUCUGGACCCCAGAGGUAGACUUAAGACUGGGUGGUAGGAGUGAGGCUGGAAUCCGUUCUGAUGGGAACCCCAGCCCCAAGAAGAAUAGCAGAUUCCACACCAUUCAGUGCUCUCUCUGGUUCAUCAGCCCCCAGAGAGAGCCAGCCUGCAGGACACACACACAUCUCCCCACACGAAGAUGAAAAGCAAGGGUCAACCGCCUGGCUCUUGUCAGCUGUGGACCUGACAGCUUUACAUCCUCCACGAAGGGAGGAGCUGAGAGGAGGUGCCGUGAGUAUCUGUGUGACAGGGACGGAAGACGGAUAUUUUUAUGGAGGAAGAAAUACACUGAACAAGGGAAAUUAGAUGGAAAGACCAUAAAAGUCUCAGGUUGGCCAAACCAAUUAGUAGAUGUUUACAGAAGAUACCCCUGAGGUCAGACAGGAUUUGCUUUGAUGUCAAAACUCUUGAGUUUGAAAAAUGGAUUAGCAUCCUCUGCAUCAAGGCGCGGUGGAGAGACCCGCUCCCCUUCUGCUGGCGCUUCCAGCCAGCUGUGCACCCUCAGGCAGGUGAUUUAAAGUCUCCGGCAUUUCUUUCCUCAUCUGCGAGAGGGAAGGAUUAUACGAGAUCUCCCUGAAGGUCCCUUCCAGCUCUGACAUGCCAGGAAAUCCUCUUUGACUUCUGGAAACUUGGAGGGACGUUUCAGGGCUCGAGCAUCCAUAAUUUGGCUCCGUGGGAUUUUCCAUGCAGUCUCUAAAAUUCCUCUACC